GAAGAGAUAUUUUUAAAUCACCCAUCGCUCAGGCAAGUGCUUUUUCUCCUUCUCUUUCCAGUUACAAAUCUAGAGGAGAAAAAAGAAAGGGAGAAAAAGAAGGAAGGGCAACAGAGAGAAAAGGGCAGCCUCGCCAAAGGCCCAGGCAGGGAGGGAAGCGGGUGUGGGCCAACCCGGGAAGUGCUGGGGAGACCCCUCCACUGGGCGGCUCCCCCAUUCCAAUCUCCUGGCGCUGCAAAUGCUGGAAGCCCGUUAGCAAUUAAGCAAUUUCAAGUUUGUUUUUUUCUAGAAAAUGUACGUUUUUCUUUGAGUGCCCUCCCUUUUUCCGACGUUUUCCUUUCUAGCCCCGUCUCUGCCAUCCGUUUUAAUCCACACACUAAUUGUAAUCCCAUUAAAGCAGAUAUAAUUUUAUUAGUAUUCACAGUUCAUCAAGCUACCAAUAAUAACUGUUACUGCCAAUUUUGUUUUUAAAAGCGACAAACAUUUCUGAUGUUUAGAACAAACUGUAAACAAAAGCCACCCAUGUACCAGGGUGACCCGGCGGGUCCCUAGCGCAGCCCUGCGCGCUUCCCCCGAAUCUACCCGCGCCGCCUGGUGACCUCUAGGGCUUCAGGCGUGGUAGCUGCCCCUACCCUGACCUCCCUCGACACUCAUAUCAAAGCCACCGGGAAGAGGGCUGCCCUGGAGGCCUGGGCCCGCUCUGCCAAGGACUGAUCCUCUCGGGCAGGGAGUCAGAGGGGACCGCCCGAGAGGAUCCGUCCCUGCGAGGCCCAGCACGGCGCCCCACGCUCUCCUCUUGGAGCAAAUCCGCCUCGCUCUCCUCUUGGAGCAAAUCCGCCGCACUCUCGCCUGCACCGAAAUCCUGAGCGCCGCCCCGCGCCACCCCCAGCCCGCGCCCGCGCUGCCCUCCUCCCCGGGCCGCAGGCUGAGAGGCUGGGCCGCACUCUGGCCACGCUUUGUCCGGCUUUAGCGGGAUACCAGAGGCACUCGUUAAGGCAAAUGCAUCCCUGCAAACCCAUUCUCGCCCUGACACUUUAAGGCUUUAUAUAGAAACAGGAUUUGCUCGUCUUACACCAGCAGUCCCUAUUAACGCUCGCCCGGCGCACACACCACUCUAAUCCGCGAGGCCGCGGCGUACCCUGGUCCCCUCCCCCCGCCACAACAGCCGUUUUGUUUCCGCAGAAAGCGCCUCGUUGUCCCAGCCCCGGAACGUCUUACCAUUCUUCUGAAUCCACCGUGGUCCCCCCUCCCCAGCCCCAGCGGGACCAGCUCCUGUCCCCAGCAUCGCGCUAGGACCCCAGGCCGGCUCCUCAGAGCCCCGGAGGCCCGCAACCGCCACCGGCAUCACCUGGGCCGCCACGCCGCAGUGCCCGGCCUGCUGUCCCGGAGCCGGGAGCUUCC
Molecule: long non-coding RNA, 1401 nt
Filed under: Homo sapiens (human)
Lineage: Eukaryota; Metazoa; Chordata; Mammalia; Primates; Hominidae
Description: ISR
Source: RNAcentral